RNAcentral lists this ribosomal RNA (492 nucleotides) under uncultured bacterium. RNAcentral's name for it is "partial 16S ribosomal RNA". It matches the Rfam family "Bacterial small subunit ribosomal RNA", at positions 29 to 507 of the family's 1533-position model. The record is from RNAcentral.
AGUGAACGCUGGCGGUAGGCCUAACACAUGCAAGUCGAACGGCAGCACAGUAAGAGCUUGCUCUUACGGGUGGCGAGUGGCGGACGGGUGAGGAAUACAUCGGAAUCUACUUUUUCGUGGGGGAUAACGUAGGGAAACUUACGCUAAUACCGCAUACGACCUACGGGUGAAAGCAGGGGAUCUUCGGACCUUGCGCGAUUGAAUGAGCCGAUGUCGGAUUAGCUAGUUGGCGGGGUAAAGGCCCACCAAGGCGACGAUCCGUAGCUGGUCUGAGAGGAUGAUCAGCCACACUGGAACGGAGACACGGUCCAGACUCCUACGGGAGGCAGCAGUGGGGAAUAUUGGACAAUGGUCGCAAGCCUGAUCCAGCCAUACCGCGUGGGUGAAGAAGGCCUUCGGGUUGUAAAGCCCUUUUGUUGGGAAAGAAAAGCAGCAGGUUAAUACCCCGCUGUUCUGACGGUACCCAAAGAAUAAGCACCGGCUAACUUCGUG